RNAcentral lists this long non-coding RNA (225 nucleotides) under Lathyrus oleraceus (garden pea). RNAcentral describes it as "Pisum sativum (pea) long non-coding RNA (PSAT_LNC022509)". The record is from RNAcentral. Lineage: Eukaryota; Viridiplantae; Streptophyta; Magnoliopsida; Fabales; Fabaceae.
UUUAUUUGUGUCUCUAUCAAACUGAUUAUCCUGCAAAACUUAAAGCACAUAAUUUUUAAUAGAAAAAUAAGUCGGGUUGGCUAGUUGGAAAUCCAUUGAUAUUUGUCCAGCAUCAUUCCUCUUACAGUAAUCUCACAUGGUUUGUUGUAGUUGCUCUUCCAUGACAAGUUUUCUCCUGGAAAUUACAAUAACUAAGAAUACCCUUAGUAGUAUAGCACUAACAAA